GACGAACGCUGGCGGCGUGCUUAACACAUGCAAGUCGAACGGAAAGGCCCUGCUUUUGUGGGGUGCUCGAGUGGCGAACGGGUGAGUAACACGUGAGUAACCUGCCCUUGACUUUGGGAUAACUUCAGGAAACUGGGGCUAAUACCGGAUAGGAGCUCCUGCUGCAUGGUGGGGGUUGGAAAGUUUCGGCGGUUGGGGAUGGAUUCGCGGCUUAUCAGCUUGUUGGUGGGGUAGUGGCUUACAAAGGCUUUGACGGGUAGCCGGCCUGGGAGGGUGACCGGGCACAUUGGUACUGAGGGACGGCCCAGACGGCUACGGGAGGCAGCAGGGGGGAAUAUUGCACAAUGGGCGGAAGCCUGAGGCAGAAACGCCGCGUGCGGGAUGACGGCCUUCGGGUUGUAAACCGCUUUCGCCUGAGACGAAGCGUGAGUGACGGUAAUGGGUAAAGAAGCACCGGCUAACUACGUG
This 468-nucleotide ribosomal RNA is filed under the name uncultured bacterium. RNAcentral describes it as "partial 16S ribosomal RNA". It matches the Rfam family "Bacterial small subunit ribosomal RNA", at positions 28 to 507 of the family's 1533-position model. The record is from RNAcentral.